CACGGAAUUAGCCGGUCCUUUUUCUGAAGGUACAUACAAUAGAGGACACGUCCUCUUUUUUAUUCCCAACUAAAAGCAGUUUACAACCCAGAGGGCCGUCAUCCUGCACGCUACUUGGCUGGUUCGGACUUUCGUCCAUUGACCAAUAUUCCUCACUGCUGCCUCCCGUAGGAGUCUGGACCGUGUCUCAGUUCCAGUGUGGGGGACCUUCCUCUCAGAACCCCUACCGAUCGAAGGCUAGGUGGGCCGUUACCCCGCUACUACCUAAUCGGACGCAUCACCAUCUCAUACCGAUAAAUCUUUGGUUAUAUCACCAUGCGGUAACAUAACAACAUCGGGUAUUAAUCUUACUUUCGCAAGGCUAUCCCCGAGUAUGAGGCAGGUUUGAUACGCGUUACGCACCCGUGCGCCGGUCGCCAUCAGAAGAAGCAAGCUUCUCCAUGCUGCCCCUCGACUUGCAUGUGUUAAGCCUGUAGCUAGCGUUCAUCCCUGAGCCAGGACUCAAACUCUCU
This 512-nucleotide ribosomal RNA is filed under the name uncultured Prevotellaceae bacterium. RNAcentral describes it as "partial 16S ribosomal RNA". Lineage: Bacteria; Pseudomonadati; Bacteroidota; Bacteroidia; Bacteroidales; Prevotellaceae. The record is from RNAcentral.